AGAGGAUGAGCAAAGCAAUAGAAAUAAUGAUUACACAUGUAGAUACAAUACGUAUGGUGCAUGAACGGGUCAACUCAGAACUGGAAGAGGCUAGAAAAUUGUUACAAGACAGUCGUCCUUUCGGAAGUGCUGGUUUAGAGAUAGGUGAUUUUCCACACAUGAGUAAACGAUCUUUGUCCCUCUCACAGCAAGGCCAAGGGUUCCAGUCACGGGUACGUUAUCAC
Molecule: long non-coding RNA, 224 nt
Organism: Mizuhopecten yessoensis (Yesso scallop)
Lineage: Eukaryota; Metazoa; Mollusca; Bivalvia; Pectinida; Pectinidae
Exons: 3
Source: RefSeq, a predicted model, not a curated record